ACUUUAGAGAGAGAGAGAGAGAGAGAGAGAGAGAGAGAGAGAGAGUAGGUGUGGUUGAGAGAGAGAGGGAGUGGAUUCACAUUCAGAUGAGGACGCAGUGGUUGGGCAAAAACGAGGUGUCAAAAAGCCAAUCACAGCCACUCUCUCUUGUUCUCUCCGAUUGAAUUUCCAAGUGUGUUGGGAGCUUAUAUUUAUACGCAACAAACAAGUGAAUAUGUCUGUAUCAUGACUCGACCCUCCGAAUUCAGCCAAUUUCGGUUGAAUUCGAAUUUGGAAAAAUAGGCUAAGAAGAAAAACAUAGCGCAGCACCUACUCUAUCACGAAAAUACAGCCUCCUAUGUUUUAUUUUGCUCUCAUUCAACUUUCUAACCUUAUCAAAUGUAUGCUGCCCCUACCCGGGUCAGUAUAGAAAAUUGUCCCUCC
Molecule: long non-coding RNA, 423 nt
Organism: Pyrus x bretschneideri (Chinese white pear)
Lineage: Eukaryota; Viridiplantae; Streptophyta; Magnoliopsida; Rosales; Rosaceae
Exons: 3
Source: RefSeq, a predicted model, not a curated record